AGAUCAGAAAAUCAUAAGACAGCAUUAAAAAGUACUAUACAGGAGGAGAUGGAACAAGAUGGCCAAAUAGAAGCCUCCAGCAAUCAUCUCCCCGAAAGGAAUUGAACAACUAUCAAAACAAAAUUGAACAACUAUCUAAACAAAAAAGUACCUUCAUAAAAAACAAAAAUCAGGCAUACAAUGGUGGACAAAACAGCUGCCUUUCUUCCCCGUAUGGAGCUUACAGUAUAGUGAAUAUUUCAUGGGACUAGUAUCUACAGAAGGUGUUUUGGGAAGCACAGCUUUGGAGAGAGUAAUUUGCCAACAUUGCACAGAAUAAAGGCACCAUGAGGGCCCAAGGAAGGAAAAGAUUUGCAGCUGUCUUGACCACCACCACAUGUGCAGCAUCCCUCUGGGUCUCUUCCAUGACAACCCUGUGGGAAGCCAGGCAAGUGAGAAUCAAUGUAAACAUGAAGUUCAUGCUGCUUACUGUGUCGUGAUAAUGUCCUUGUCUCCCAAUCAGGAGAUGCUUCUCUUCUGUCAGCCUGCAACUG
This 533-nucleotide long non-coding RNA is filed under the name Homo sapiens (human). RNAcentral's name for it is "HSALNT0127727". The record is from RNAcentral. Lineage: Eukaryota; Metazoa; Chordata; Mammalia; Primates; Hominidae.